UCUCUAUCGAAUUGUCAACACGAGUUGUUGSUGGUCUCCAAAWAGGGGGCACGUGCACGCUCUGUUCACACAUCCACUCACACCUGUGCACCCUCUGUAGUUCCGUGGCAUGGGGGACUCUGUCCUCCUGUUGUGGUCCUACGUCUUUACACACACACUCUGUAACAAAGUCUCAUGGAAUGCAUGACGCGUUUAACGCAAUACAAUACAACUUUCAGCAACGGAUCUCUUGGCUCUCGCAUCGAUGAAGAACGCAGCGAAAUGCGAUAAGUAAUGUGAAUUGCAGAAUUCAGUGAAUCAUCGAAUCUUUGAACGCACCUUGCGCCCUUUGGCUAUUCCGAAGGGCAUGCCUGUUUGAGUAUCGUGAACACCUCAACUCUCAUGGUUUGCCGUGAUGAGCUUGGACUUUGGGGGUCUUGCUGGCCUUUGGUCGGCUCCUCUCAAACGGAUCAGCUUUCCAGUGUUUGGUGGCGUCAUGGGUGUGAUAACUAUCUACGCCUGUGGUUUUCUGCCAGAUAACCUUCAGUGAUGGAGGUUCGCUGGGGCUCAUAAAUGUCUCUCUUCAGUGGAGACAGCUUUUGGACGUUUGAUCUCAAAUCAGGUAGGACUACCCGCUGAACUUAAGCAUAUCAAUAAGCGGAGGAAAAGAAACUAACAAGGAUUCCCCUAGUAAU
RNAcentral lists this ribosomal RNA (674 nucleotides) under uncultured Tomentella. RNAcentral describes it as "eukaryotic LSU rRNA". The stretch from base 210 to 364 matches the Rfam family "5.8S ribosomal RNA". Lineage: Eukaryota; Fungi; Basidiomycota; Agaricomycetes; Thelephorales; Thelephoraceae. The record is from RNAcentral.